CCCCAUGGAAAUGGGUAAAGAAACACCUUGGUGGUGGUGUUCUUCUAUCUGUCAGUGGCAGAGCAUCUGGCAGUCCAUUGAUUUUCCUAGAUUGAUGCUUGACUUUGUGGCCAAAGCUGUUUUAUGCCUAUGACACAUAC
Non-coding RNA from Mus musculus (house mouse), 140 nucleotides. NCBI's taxonomy places the organism in Eukaryota, Metazoa, Chordata, Mammalia, Rodentia, Muridae. The record is from Rfam.